This 492-nucleotide ribosomal RNA is filed under the name uncultured bacterium. RNAcentral's name for it is "partial 16S ribosomal RNA". It matches the Rfam family "Bacterial small subunit ribosomal RNA", at positions 29 to 507 of the family's 1533-position model. The record is from RNAcentral.
AGUGAACGCUGGCGGUAGGCCUAACACAUGCAAGUCGAACGGCAGCACAGUAAGAGCUUGCUCUUACGGGUGGCGAGUGGCGGACGGGUGAGGAAUACAUCGGAAUCUACUUUUUCGUGGGGGAUAACGUAGGGAAACUUACGCUAAUACCGCAUACGACCUACGGGUGAAAGCAGGGGAUCUUCGGACCUUGCGCGAUUGAAUGAGCCGAUGUCGGAUUAGCUAGUUGACGGGGUAAAGGCCCACCAAGGCGACGAUCCGUAGCUGGUCUGAGAGGAUGAUCAGCCACACUGGAACUGAGACACGGUCCAGACUCCUACGGGAGGCAGCAGUGGGGAAUAUUGGACAAUGGGCGCAAGCCUGAUCCAGCCAUACCGCGUGGGUGAAGAGGGCCUUCGGGUUGUAAAGCCCUUUUGUUGGGAAAGAAAAGCAGCAGGUUAAUACCCCGCUGUUCUGACGGUACCCAAAGAAUAAGCACCGGCUAACUACGUG